This 253-nucleotide ribosomal RNA is filed under the name uncultured bacterium. RNAcentral's name for it is "partial 16S ribosomal RNA". It matches the Rfam family "Bacterial small subunit ribosomal RNA", at positions 524 to 776 of the family's 1533-position model. The record is from RNAcentral.
UACGUAGGGUGCGAGCGUUAAUCGGAAUUACUGGGCGUAAAGCGUGCGCAGGCGGUUAUGUAAGACAGAUGUGAAAUCCCCGGGCUCAACCUGGGAACUGCAUCAGUGACUGCAUAGCUGGAGUGCGGCAGAGGGGGAUGGAAUUCCGCGUGUAGCAGUGAAAUGCGUAGAUAUGCGGAGGAACACCGAUGGCGAAGGCAAUCCCCUGGGCCUGCACUGACGCUCAUGCACGAAAGCGUGGGGAGCAAACAGG